CCCUUAGAUGUUCUGGGCCGCACGCGCGCUACACUGAUGCAUUCAACGAGUUUCUUCCUGGUCCGAGAGGAAUGGGUAACCUUUUGAAAGUGCAUCGUGAUAGGGAUAGACUAUUGCAAUUAUUGGUCUUCAACGAGGAAUUCCUAGUAGACGUAGUUCAUCAGACUGCAUCGAUUACGUCCCUGCCCUUGGUACACACCGCCCGUCGCUCCUACCGAUUGAAUGCUCAGGUGAGCCAUUCGGACUUUCAUCAUGCUGGUUUCCAGUUUUGAUGAAGGAAAGUCUUGCGAACCUUAUCAUUUAGAGGAAGGAGAAGUCGUAACA
RNAcentral lists this ribosomal RNA (324 nucleotides) under uncultured eukaryote. RNAcentral describes it as "partial 18S ribosomal RNA". It matches the Rfam family "Eukaryotic small subunit ribosomal RNA", at positions 1470 to 1796 of the family's 1831-position model. The record is from RNAcentral.